Molecule: ribosomal RNA, 522 nt
Filed under: Triticum aestivum (bread wheat)
Lineage: Eukaryota; Viridiplantae; Streptophyta; Magnoliopsida; Poales; Poaceae
Description: partial small subunit ribosomal RNA
Source: RNAcentral
GGGGGGAUAAGCAGAUACCACAUGGUGUGUUGGACUGAGAUCUGUAAGCCUUGGGACCAGGGUGGGCUAGGCAUCAUGUCAUCGAAACAGAUGAACAUUGCCCUCCCGACUUGGUGGCUCUAGCGGAUCGCUAAUGGCGAAGGUGGCCUGUGGCUUCACAUUAUCCAGAAUAAGUAUCUCCGUGGCCAGCCGCUUGCUUUCUGCCAACGAUCCAAAGGCUCCCAGUUCUGGCAGUCCAUCAUCCAGUUGCUUCUGAUCCUCUGCAUCGGAUCCUCCAUCUUCGUGGGAAUGGGCUCAGACACUCUCUUCUGGUUCGAUAGGUGGGCUGGCGAUGCCCCCUUCACGGCUCACUUCCCAGACCUGUUCUCCAUCGUGGUAGACCAUCGGGUCUCCGUGGAGGCAGCUCUUCUUGAUUUAUGGUGCCUCGCGUUCCGUCAACCUUUUGGGCCUCCGGAAUUUCUAGCCUGGCAAGAGCUCCUGGCCGCCGUUGCUCUCCAUGAGCCGGACCUCGACUCGCCAUAG